This is a long non-coding RNA of Zalophus californianus (California sea lion), 512 nucleotides long. RefSeq lists it as uncharacterized. The transcript is spliced from 3 exons. NCBI's taxonomy places the organism in Eukaryota, Metazoa, Chordata, Mammalia, Carnivora, Otariidae. The record is from RefSeq and is a predicted model, not a curated record.
AAGACAGAAGCCCAGGAAGGGGGCCAUCUGGCUUGAGGAGGACCCAGCCUCUUGGCUCCUCAUCCAGCCCCCACCCACAGUCCUAGAAAUGUCUGGAACCUUCUAGGACAGCCAGAUCUUGACCUACCGGUACGGGAUCCCGACCUCCCUCCGGAAAACAGGCCAGCAGUGGGACUUCGCCAAUGCCUGGGCCCCCCUGCAGGACCUGGUCAUCAGAGGUCUGGCCAAGUCUCCUUCACCCCGGGCCCAGGAAGUGGCUUUCCAGCUGGCUCAGAAUUGGAUCCGAACCAACUUUGAGGUCUACUCCCGAAAGUCAGCCAUGUUGGAGGAGGAGGGCUUUGGCUGGACCAGUGGAGUGGUCCUGAUGCUCCUGGACCGCUAGGGUGACCGGCUGAGCUCGGGGACCCAGACAGCUUUCCUGGAGCACCCCCUCCGCCUCACGGCUGCCCUUCUACUCAGCCUCCCGCUCAGCCUCCUGCCUCCUGCCACAGUGAUGGGGCUCCCUGCCCCGU